AUUGAACGCUGGCGGCAGGCCUAACACAUGCAAGUCGAACGAGUGGCGGACGGGUGAGUAAUGUCUGGGAAACUGCCUGAUGGAGGGGGAUAACUACUGGAAACGGUAGCUAAUACCGCAUACCAUCAGAUGUGCCCAGAUGGGAUUAGCUAGUUGGUGGGGUAACGGCUCACCAAGGCGACGAUGCCUAGCUGGUCUGAGAGGCUGACCAGCCACACUGGGACUGAGACACGGUCCAGACUCCUACGGGAGGCAGCAGUGGGGAAUAUUGCACAAUGGGCGAAAGCCUGAUGGAGCCAUGCCGCGUGUAUGAAGAAGGCUUUCGGGUUGUAAAGUACUUUCAGCGGGGAGGCGGUACCCAAAGAAGAAGCACCGGCUAACUCCGUGCCAGCCGCCGCGGUAAUAC
This 406-nucleotide ribosomal RNA is filed under the name uncultured bacterium. RNAcentral's name for it is "partial 16S ribosomal RNA". It matches the Rfam family "Bacterial small subunit ribosomal RNA", at positions 30 to 526 of the family's 1533-position model. The record is from RNAcentral.